AUGUCAUCAGUUAAGGCGGGGCAGGGCAUUUUCACUUCUUUUGUGAUUCUUAGUUACUUCAGGCCAUCUGGGCGUAUACGUGCAAGUCACCGGGGAUGCGAUGGCUUGGCUUGGGCUCAGAGGCCUGACAUAGAUGACUGGUGCAAAGAAUAGGUAGUUUUCAGCUUUCAGAUAUUUACUGCCAAAUUGCUCUCAAGAAAAUUUGCUUCAUGUUAUCUUCCCUAUGGCAGGGGAUGGAUGGGAC
RNAcentral lists this long non-coding RNA (244 nucleotides) under Homo sapiens (human). RNAcentral describes it as "non-protein coding lnc-COMMD10-11:1". Lineage: Eukaryota; Metazoa; Chordata; Mammalia; Primates; Hominidae. The record is from RNAcentral.